ACAUGUCUUAUUUCUGGACACACCACAGACAUGUUUUGGGAUUUAUUAUAAUUCUGCAAAGGUGGUUUGGUAGAGUGAUGAACUAAUUUGAAAACAAGUGGGUGGGAUAUGAAAAAAGGAAAAGAAAAGAAGAGAAUGAUCAUAAGGCUGGGCAUUUCAUCCUGUUUCACUUCUUGUGUCCUUAAUAUGACCCUGUUCAGUUCAUACUUAUUUUUCCCCCUCAUAUAUGCUUGUUCAUACUUAGUUCUUGGGACGUAAAAUCUGGGUGUUUUUUCCAUGUUAAAGUAGUGUUAUCAGUGUUUGUGUUCGUGCCCGUGCUUUUUAGUCAAUGUGGCUAUCUCAUAAACAAAUGCUUAUCAUUUCAUUUCAUGCAUUGAAUUGUUCCAGUCGAGAGAGUACACAACAACAGCAACAUGUAGACCAGAACAAUGCUUCCAUGGAAUGAUCAAUAGUGUGACUGGCACUGAUAGGGAGGGUCGGUCUCGGCAACGGAUUCUUACAUUUGCUGCCAGGAGAUCUGCCAUUUGACUUUAGUUUCUUUGCAAUACAACACUUGUAUUUGCUGCAUCAGAUAGGCCAACUGUCAUUUAUAGCAGUAACAAGAAAUUACUCUUACAGCAAUUUAAAUUUGAAAGAGGUCAGUGAUAUGUGCCUUUUCAACUCCGCUGCUUUUCUGGACAGUCCAUGCUUUUAUAGGUAAAUUCUAUGCCACUUCUUGGUAAUUUUAGCUCAUCAGUUUGUUUUGGUCAAAGUCAUCACUCCUACCGUUGAACUCUCUCUCUCCAUUGUUGUGGUUUUCUGUCAUCGAAAGACCUGCACAAGACCAUCUUGGGGUCAGUUUCUCAGCAACAGCAACAAUUGAGAUGCAUGGAGGAACAUGUCUCUCAUUUCUUGCUAGUAAAUAUGACGAAGAGGCUGCUAGAGAGAGAAGCAGGCAAU
Molecule: non-coding RNA, 939 nt
Organism: Camellia sinensis
Lineage: Eukaryota; Viridiplantae; Streptophyta; Magnoliopsida; Ericales; Theaceae
Source: RefSeq, a predicted model, not a curated record